This is a non-coding RNA of Plutella xylostella (diamondback moth), 1770 nucleotides long. NCBI's taxonomy places the organism in Eukaryota, Metazoa, Arthropoda, Insecta, Lepidoptera, Plutellidae. The record is from RefSeq and is a predicted model, not a curated record.
GGGGGCCUACUCGGUAACGCGAAAAUCGAAAUAACGUUCAACGUUCGGGCCAUUUUCGCACUCUGUAGGGAGAGUUUUACGCACGAACGAACGAAACAACGAAGUUUCGAUUUUCUAUACAAAAUGGUACUCUGAACUGCAAUGUCAAACACGUAAUAUUGAGUUUGACAGCUCAUUUACUGUCAGUUUUACUUCAAAUUUCACGUCUACACAAGAGGUAACGUUGAGAUAUUCGUUUUGCUGUAAUUGCUGAAAAUAACAUAAAGAAUGGCUAGGUAUUUGCUGAUGCAAGAAAUUCUUCGGGACGAGAGAAGGAAAAGGCGAGUGGCCCUAAGAAGAAACUUCCGCUUGCACACAAUUCCCGACUCUGAAUUCGUAAAUAACUACCGUCUGAAUCGGGAAUUGUCCGAAUUGUUCCAAACGCUGUGUGAAGAGAUUGUCCCGUUUCUUCCUCCAAGGAUACGACACCGGGGUAUUGAUCCCAUAAUGAAGGUAAAACUCAACAAGUAUCUUAUUUUCAUAUUACCUUUAACCAUAAAAAUCAGACGAUAAAUAACGUAAAUAUCAGACAAUGAUAAAACAUAACUGACUAACAUAAUUUCCGGAUUUAUUUCAGAUUUUGGUAGUAUUAAACUUCUAUGCAAGGGGUAGUUAUCAAGGUGCCGUAGGCCUCAACAGCGAUGUACCCAUGGCACAGCAAACUGUGUCUAGGUGCAUCCAUGAAUUCACGGAUGCCUUGAAUAGAGCUGAGAUUUUGAGGAAGUACAUUCGCUUCCCACAAAAUAGGGAAGAAAGGAAUGUCAUCAAACAAAAAUUUUCCGAUAGAUAUGGGAUACCGGGGGUAUGUGGCUGCAUAGACUGCACCCACAUUAAAAUAAUAAGGCCCGCUGAGCAUUAAGAGCGGUGCUUUAAUAGGAAACAUUGGCAUUCCAUUAACUGCCAAGUGAUUUGUGACUCUGAUUGCCUUAUAUUGAGUAUUGAUGCAUCAUACACAUCAUCAUACAUUGGGCAUAUGGGCCCAACAUGAGAUAAAAGCUCACAUGGAAGAACUCUCAAUACAGGGAGGGACUACAUACCUACUGGGUAAAUGUUCCAAAUAUAAAUUUAUCCAUUCUCAACCUAAACUAUCUCAAAGCCCAAAGCGAGGUGAUGGAUGUAUUAUGUAUGUUGGUAACCCAAAAUAAUAAUGUAUUAAUAAUUUCAUAACAUGUUCUACAGGUGACUCAGGGUAUCCUCUCUGGUCAUUCAUGAUGACUCCAGUGGACCAUGCAGUAGACGACUCACCUGAAGGGCGCUACAAUAUAAUUCAGAAACGUGCCCGUUCCACUGUAGAGCACACAUUUGGAAUACUAAAAGGGAGAUGGAGAUGCUUAUUAGCCGCCAGAGAAUUAAAUUACAAUCCUGAGACCGCUGGCAAAAUUGCACUGUAUUGCACAACAUGUGCAUACAUGCUCGGCUCGACCAUCCUGAAUUAGCAGAGGAGGACCUCGCAGCUGAGAACGCCCUGCCCAUUCCCCAGCAAGCUGCAAUUCCACAAGGACGGGCAUUGGAGGAAGGAAGAAGAGUACGCAGAGUACUAAUACAUUUAUUAGAGGCAUAAUAUGCCCCCGGCUUUGUAUGGAUAUACUUAUAUGUAUAAGACAAAACAAUCCUUAUUGUGAGGUUGUAGAAGAGAUUACUUUUAGUAAUACGGCCGCUGAUUGUACUAUUUCUUUUCUAUUUUUGUGAAACUGUUUCUGUUUGUGUGCAAUAAAGAGUAUUUUAUCUUUA